CCCUUAGAUGUUCUGGGCCGCACGCGCGCUACACUGAUGAAUGCAACGAGCUCUACCCUUGACCGAAAGACCCGGGUAAACUUGUGAAACUUCAUCGUGAUGGGGAUAGAUUAUUGCAAUUAUUAAUCUUCAACGAGGAAUUCCUAGUAAGCGCGAGUCAUCAGCUCGCGUUGAUUACGUCCCUGCCCUUUGUACACACCGCCCGUCGCUCCUACCGAUUGAAUGGUCCGGUGAAAUCUUCGGAUUGCUGACCAAGAUCCAGCAAUGGAGCUUGGUUGCGAGAAGUUGAUUAAACCUUAUUAUUUAGAGGAAGGAGAAGUCGUAACA
This 327-nucleotide ribosomal RNA is filed under the name uncultured eukaryote. Its description in RNAcentral is "partial 18S ribosomal RNA". It matches the Rfam family "Eukaryotic small subunit ribosomal RNA", at positions 1470 to 1796 of the family's 1831-position model. The record is from RNAcentral.